RNAcentral lists this ribosomal RNA (161 nucleotides) under Sminthuridae environmental sample. RNAcentral describes it as "partial 18S ribosomal RNA". It matches the Rfam family "Eukaryotic small subunit ribosomal RNA", at positions 1487 to 1650 of the family's 1831-position model. The record is from RNAcentral. Lineage: Eukaryota; Metazoa; Arthropoda; Collembola; Symphypleona; Sminthuridae.
CUGCACGCGCGCUACACUGAAGGAAUCAGCGUGUGUUCCCUACCCGAAAGGGUUGGGAAACCCGUUGAACCUCCUUCGUGAUGGGGAUUGGGGAUUGCAAUUAUUCCCCAUGAACGAGGAAUUCCCAGUAGGCGCGAGUCAUAAGCUUGCGUCGAUUACGU